UGGGGAAUUUUGGACAAUGGGGGCAACCCUGAUCCAGCAAUGCCGCGUGAGUGAAGAAGGCCCUCGGGUUGUAAAGCUCUUUUGUCAGGGAAGAAACGGAGUUCUCUAAUAUAGGAUUCUAAUGACGGUACCUGAAGAAUAAGCACCGGCUAACUACGUGCCAGCAGCCGCGGUAAUACGUAGGGUGCAAGCGUUAAUCGGAAUUACUGGGCGUAAAGCGUGCGCAGGCGGUUUUGUAAGUCUGAUGUGAAAUCCCCGGGCUCAACCUGGGAACUGCAUUGGAGACUGCAAGGCUAGAGUGUGUCAGAGGGGGGUAGAAUUCCACGUGUAGCAGUGAAAUGCGUAGAGAUGUGGAGGAAUACCGAUGGCGAAGGCAGCCCCCUGGGAUAACACUGACGCUCAUGCACGAAAGCGUGGGGAGCAAACAGG
RNAcentral lists this ribosomal RNA (429 nucleotides) under Brucella melitensis. RNAcentral describes it as "partial 16S ribosomal RNA". It matches the Rfam family "Bacterial small subunit ribosomal RNA", at positions 355 to 776 of the family's 1533-position model. RNAcentral also lists the same sequence under 3 other names. Lineage: Bacteria; Pseudomonadati; Pseudomonadota; Alphaproteobacteria; Hyphomicrobiales; Brucellaceae. The record is from RNAcentral.